RNAcentral lists this ribosomal RNA (514 nucleotides) under uncultured Staphylococcus sp. RNAcentral's name for it is "bacterial SSU rRNA". It matches the Rfam family "Bacterial small subunit ribosomal RNA", at positions 9 to 505 of the family's 1533-position model. Lineage: Bacteria; Bacillati; Bacillota; Bacilli; Caryophanales; Staphylococcaceae. The record is from RNAcentral.
GAGUUUGAUCCUGGCUCAGGAUGAACGCUGGCGGCGUGCCUAAUACAUGCAAGUCGAGCGAACAGAUGAGAAGCUUGCUUCUCUGAUGUUAGCGGCGGACGGGUGAGUAACACGUGGGUAACCUACCUAUAAGACUGGGAUAACUCCGGGAAACCGGGGCUAAUACCUGAUAAUAUUUUGAACCGCAUGGUUCAAUAGUGAAAGGCGGCUUCGGCUGUCACUUAUAGAUGGACCCGCGCCGUAUUAGCUAGUUGGUAAGGUAACGGCUUACCAAGGCGACGAUACGCAGCCGACCUGAGAGGGUGACCGGCCACACUGGAACUGAGACACGGUCCAGACUCCUACGGGAGGCAGCAGUAGGGAAUCUUCCGCAAUGGGCGAAAGCCUGACGGAGCAACGCCGCGUGAGUGAUGAAGGUUUUCGGAUCGUAAAACUCUGUUGUUAGGGAAGAACAAAUUUGUUAGUAACUGAACAAGUCUUGACGGUACCUAACCAGAAAGCCACGGCUACUACG